ACGCUUUACGAGAUAACCAA
This 20-nucleotide microRNA is filed under the name Schistosoma mansoni. Its description in RNAcentral is "sma-miR-8439-5p". Lineage: Eukaryota; Metazoa; Platyhelminthes; Trematoda; Strigeidida; Schistosomatidae. The record is from miRBase by way of RNAcentral.